This 392-nucleotide unclassified non-coding RNA is filed under the name fungal sp. RNAcentral describes it as "partial internal transcribed spacer region". The stretch from base 1 to 46 matches the Rfam family "Eukaryotic small subunit ribosomal RNA", at positions 1786 to 1831 of the family's 1831-position model. Lineage: Eukaryota; Fungi. The record is from RNAcentral.
AAGUCGUAACAAGGUUUCCGUAGGUGAACCUGCGGAAGGAUCAUUAAAACGUAUCCAACGUUAACUAAUUGUGAACUCGUCUCCUCCCUUGGUAUUUGAGAAAUUGGAACUGUGAGCGAUAUUGAAUGGGAUCUUUAAUUAGAUCAGUCGUUUGCAGUCACUUCAUAGCUUUUUGGCUAUGUGACAAUAGUAUCAUUUGCUGAGGAUCCCUUCUCUCUGUUUACUUAUCCUCCAUUCAAGGAUGAGGGGCAGAGAGAGUGUAUAAAUAACCCCUAAUCACCCCCUUUUUGCUAGUUGACUUUAUUAAUGUUAAUUUCUAUGAAAGUAGAGAUUACACGUUUCAUUUAUUUGAACGUAAAAUACAACUCUUAGCAAUGGAUAUCUAGGUUCUC